RNAcentral lists this ribosomal RNA (425 nucleotides) under uncultured bacterium. RNAcentral's name for it is "partial 16S ribosomal RNA". It matches the Rfam family "Bacterial small subunit ribosomal RNA", at positions 354 to 796 of the family's 1533-position model. The record is from RNAcentral.
GUUAGGAAUAUUGGACAAUGGGCGCAAGCCUGAUCCAGCCAUGCCGCGUGAACGAUGAAGGCCUUCGGGUUGUAAAGUUCUUUAGACGAUGAUUAUAAUGACUGUAGUCGGAAAAUAAGCCCCGGCUAACUUCGUGCCAGCAGCCGCGGUAAUACGAAGGGGGCGAGCGUUAUUCGGAAUCACUGGGCGUAAAGCGUGCGUAGGCGGUUUUGUAAGUUAGGAGUGAAAGCCCAGGGCUCAACCUUGGAAUUGCUCUUAAAACUGCAAGGCUCGAAUCUCGGAGAAGAUAGCGGAAUUUCCAGUGUAGCAGUGAAAUGCGUAGAUAUUGGAAGGAACACCAGUGGCGUAAGCGGCUAUCUGGACGAGUACUGACACUGAGACACGAAAGCAUGGGGAUCAAACAGGAUUAGAUACCCGAGUAGUCC